This 2890-nucleotide ribosomal RNA is filed under the name Neisseria gonorrhoeae. RNAcentral's name for it is "bacterial LSU rRNA". It matches the Rfam family "Bacterial large subunit ribosomal RNA". The record is from RNAcentral. Lineage: Bacteria; Pseudomonadati; Pseudomonadota; Betaproteobacteria; Neisseriales; Neisseriaceae.
UCAAGUGAAUAAGUGCAUCAGGCGGAUGCCUUGGCGAUGAUAGGCGACGAAGGACGUGUAAGCCUGCGAAAAGCGCGGGGGAGCUGGCAAUAAAGCUAUGAUUCCGCGAUGUCCGAAUGGGGAAACCCACUGCAUUCUGUGCAGUAUCCUAAGUUGAAUACAUAGGCUUAGAGAAGCGAACCCGGAGAACUGAACCAUCUAAGUACCCGGAGGAAAAGAAAUCAACCGAGAUUCCGCAAGUAGUGGCGAGCGAACGCGGAGGAGCCUGUACGUAAUAACUGUCGAGAUAGAAGAACAAGCUGGGAAGCUUGACCAUAGCGGGUGACAGUCCCGUAUUCGAAAUCUCAACAGCGGUACUAAGCGUACGAAAAGUAGGGCGGGACACGUGAAAUCCUGUCUGAAUAUGGGGGGACCAUCCUCCAAGGCUAAAUACUCAUCAUCGACCGAUAGUGAACCAGUACCGUGAGGGAAAGGCGAAAAGAACCCCGGGAGGGGAGUGAAACAGAACCUGAAACCUGAUGCAUACAAACAGUGGGAGCGCCCUAGUGGUGUGACUGCGUACCUUUUGUAUAAUGGGUCAACGACUUACAUUCAGUAGCGAGCUUAACCGGAUAGGGGAGGCGUAGGGAAACCGAGUCUUAAUAGGGUGAUGAGUUGCUGGGUGUAGACCCGAAACCGAGUGAUCUAUCCAUGGCCAGGUUGAAGGUGCCGUAACAGGUACUGGAGGACCGAACCCACGCAUGUUGCAAAAUGCGGGGAUGAGCUGUGGGUAGGGGUGAAAGGCUAAACAAACUCGGAGAUAGCUGGUUCUCCCCGAAAACUAUUUAGGUAGUGCCUCGAGCAAGACACUGAUGGGGGUAAAGCACUGUUAUGGCUAGGGGGUUAUUGCAACUUACCAACCCAUGGCAAACUCAGAAUACCAUCAAGUGGUUCCUCGGGAGACAGACAGCGGGUGCUAACGUCCGUUGUCAAGAGGGAAACAACCCAGACCGCCGGCUAAGGUCCCAAAUGAUAGAUUAAGUGGUAAACGAAGUGGGAAGGCACAGACAGCCAGGAUGUUGGCUUAGAAGCAGCCAUCAUUUAAAGAAAGCGUAAUAGCUCACUGGUCGAGUCGUCCUGCGCGGAAGAUGUAACGGGGCUCAAAUCUAUAACCGAAGCUGCGGAUGCCGGUUUACCGGCAUGGUAGGGGAGCGUUCUGUAGGCUGAUGAAGGUGCAUUGUAAAGUGUGCUGGAGGUAUCAGAAGUGCGAAUGUUGACAUGAGUAGCGAUAAAGCGGGUGAAAAGCCCGCUCGCCGAAAGCCCAAGGUUUCCUACGCAACGUUCAUCGGCGUAGGGUAAGUCGGCCCCUAAGGCGAGGCAGAAAUGCGUAGUCGAUGGGAAACAGGUUAAUAUUCCUGUACUUGAUUCAAAUGCGAUGUGGGGACGGAGAAGGUUAGGUUGGCAAGCUGUUGGAAUAGCUUGUUUAAGCCGGUAGGUGGAAGACUUAGGCAAAUCCGGGUUUUCUUAACACCGAGAAGUGAUGACGAGUGUCUACGGACACGAAGCAACCGAUACCACGCUUCCAGGAAAAGCCACUAAGCUUCAGUUUGAAUCGAACCGUACCGCAAACCGACACAGGUGGGCAGGAUGAGAAUUCUAAGGCGCUUGAGAGAACUCGGGAGAAGGAACUCGGCAAAUUGAUACCGUAACUUCGGGAGAAGGUAUGCCCUCUAAGGUUAAGGACUUGCUCCGUAAGCCCCGGAGGGUCGCAGAGAAUAGGUGGCUGCGACUGUUUAUUAAAAACACAGCACUCUGCCAACACGAAAGUGGACGUAUAGGGUGUGACGCCUGCCCGGUGCCGGAAGGUUAAUUGAAGAUGUGCAAGCAUCGGAUCGAAGCCCCGGUAAACGGCGGCCGUAACUAUAACGGUCCUAAGGUAGCGAAAUUCCUUGUCGGGUAAGUUCCGACCCGCACGAAUGGCGUAACGAUGGCCACACUGUCUCCUCCCGAGACUCAGCGAAGUUGAAGUGGUUGUGAAGAUGCAAUCUACCCGCUGCUAGACGGAAAGACCCCGUGAACCUUUACUGUAGCUUUGCAUUGGACUUUGAAGUCACUUGUGUAGGAUAGGUGGGAGGCUUGGAAGCAGAGACGCCAGUCUCUGUGGAGUCGUCCUUGAAAUACCACCCUGGUGUCUUUGAGGUUCUAACCCAGACCCGUCAUCCGGGUCGGGGACCGUGCAUGGUAGGCAGUUUGACUGGGGCGGUCUCCUCCCAAAGCGUAACGGAGGAGUUCGAAGGUUACCUAGGUCCGGUCGGAAAUCGGACUGAUAGUGCAAUGGCAAAAGGUAGCUUAACUGCGAGACCGACAAGUCGGGCAGGUGCGAAAGCAGGACAUAGUGAUCCGGUGGUUCUGUAUGGAAGGGCCAUCGCUCAACGGAUAAAAGGUACUCCGGGGAUAACAGGCUGAUUCCGCCCAAGAGUUCAUAUCGACGGCGGAGUUUGGCACCUCGAUGUCGGCUCAUCACAUCCUGGGGCUGUAGUCGGUCCCAAGGGUAUGGCUGUUCGCCAUUUAAAGUGGUACGUGAGCUGGGUUUAAAACGUCGUGAGACAGUUUGGUCCCUAUCUGCAGUGGGCGUUGGAAGUUUGACGGGGGCUGCUCCUAGUACGAGAGGACCGGAGUGGACGAACCUCUGGUGUACCGGUUGUAACGCCAGUUGCAUAGCCGGGUAGCUAAGUUCGGAAGAGAUAAGCGCUGAAAGCAUCUAAGCGCGAAACUCGCCUGAAGAUGAGACUUCCCUUGCGGUUUAACCGCACUAAAGGGUCGUUCGAGACCAGGACGUUGAUAGGUGGGGUGUGGAAGCGCGGUAACGCGUGAAGCUAACCCAUACUAAUUGCCCGUGAGGCUUGACUCU